AGCCUAGACAAAGCAACUUAUACACAUAAUUCUUAAAAUAAAAACCUAAGAAAGAUGUCAGUAUUCCUUGUUUAUAGAAAAGGAGCCCAGACCCUGGGAGUUAAGUGGAUUUCUAUGAGGCCAGAUGACUGGGCCAGGAGCCACCACCUGACUGACCCCAAAGUCCAUCCUUCCGUUCACUCUGCUGCAUUGGUUGUGACCCAGAAUAUUCUGUUGUUUUUCCGGUUGUUCAGAGAAACAGAAAAAAGACUCAGAGUAGACUCUGAAAUAUCCACUCCCCAGACAUUGCUCAGAGUCACCUGGAGGUAUAAUGUGCUGGGCACGGCUGUGUGGGCAACAAGGCUCGUGGAACAGGAAGCAAAGGAUGAUGCUGAGGCACCGGCCACAUGUGCAGUGCCCAACAGGGGUCUCCUCUGGUCGUGGCUGUGCACCACUGACAGAAGGCGUUACUCACUGUGAUAUCUGAGACUACCAUGAUCACUGACAUUUCCUUAAUGAUGCACAAAAUGAAACGCACAAGUAUCCAACAAGUGACCGGAGAAAACUCUAGCAUACUUCUCUGAAUGUACACUUCAGAGAACGAGGGAAAUGCUUAAAUGUAAUAUUUUAGAUAAAUCACUGAAGACAAUUGUUAUACUAGGUACACUAUGGAUUUGAUGUUAUGUAGUACUACGUCUCUAUGGCAAGCUCAUCUCCUGGAAAACUAGAACCACAUUUGUCCACAAGCCUUUCUCACCGAGCAGGAACACAGCUUGCAGAUGAUUAAAUAGAGGCCCAGAAUGGUUAAGCAGCAAGCCCAGAGUCAGCCAUCCAACGCAGCACAGAGCUGUGAUCCAACCCACUUCCACUCAUGGCAUCUCGGCUUCAUGGGAGUUGAGGAGUGUCCCAACAGCAUGUCAGGAGAACCCAUGAAAAGGAAAAAACCCAGGACAAAUGGGUGAGAAGUUUCAAGACUAUGUUCAGCAUAGAGCAAAAGCCACUUGAGAAUUCUGCUUGCAGCCCAUUCCCAGGCAUGACAGUGCAAAGCUCAUCAGGGAGAAGGACAUGAGUAGAAGAC
Macaca mulatta (Rhesus monkey) is the source of this 1057-nucleotide non-coding RNA. The record is from RefSeq and is a predicted model, not a curated record. Lineage: Eukaryota; Metazoa; Chordata; Mammalia; Primates; Cercopithecidae.